AGCGGCGGACGGGUGAGUAAUGCCUGGGAAAUUGCCCUGAUGUGGGGGAUAACCAUUGGAAACGAUGGCUAAUACCGCAUAAUAGCUUCGGCUCAAAGAGGGGGACCUUCGGGCCUCUCGCGUCAGGAUAUGCCCAGGUGGGAUUAGCUAGUUGGUGAGGUAAUGGCUCACCAAGGCGACGAUCCCUAGCUGGUCUGAGAGGAUGAUCAGCCACACUGGAACUGAGACACGGUCCAGACUCCUACGGGAGGCAGCAGUGGGGAAUAUUGCACAAUGGGCGCAAGCCUGAUGCAGCCAUGCCGCGUGUGUGAAGAAGGCCUUCGGGUUGUAAAGCACUUUCAGCAGUGAGGAAGGCGGGUACGUUAAUAGCGUAUUCGUUUGACGUUAGCUGCAGAAGAAGCACCGGCUAACUCCGUGCCAGCAGCCGCGGUAAUACGGAGGGUGCGAGCGUUAAUCGGAAUUACUGGGCGUAAAGCGCAUGCAGGUGGUUAGUUAAGUCAGAUGUGAAAGCCCGGGGCUCAACCUCGGAACUGCAUUUGAAACUGGCUGACUAGAGUACUGU
RNAcentral lists this ribosomal RNA (562 nucleotides) under uncultured bacterium. RNAcentral's name for it is "bacterial SSU rRNA". It matches the Rfam family "Bacterial small subunit ribosomal RNA", at positions 94 to 652 of the family's 1533-position model. The record is from RNAcentral.